GGCAGGUACUGUAGCUCUCUGCAACUCUCACAUGGUCGCCCACUGAAGCUAAGCAGGGUUGCACCUGGUCAGUACCUGGAUGGAAGACCACAUGGGAAAGUUAGGUUGCUGCCA
This 114-nucleotide ribosomal RNA is filed under the name Danio rerio (zebrafish). Lineage: Eukaryota; Metazoa; Chordata; Actinopteri; Cypriniformes; Danionidae. The record is from RNAcentral.